UUUUUUAAUUGAAAACUUGUAUGAAGGGUUGAAUGAAAUAUAGGCUAUUUUAUAAAAAUUUAAUUAAAACUUUAUUUUUUAGUCAAAAAGCUAAAAUAUGAUUAUAGGACGAGAAGACCCUAUAGAAUUUUAUAAUUAAAAAUUAUUAUUUAUAAAGAAUAAUUUAAAUUUUAAUAAAUUAAUUAUUUUAUUGGGGUGAUUUUAUAAUUUAUUAAACUUAUAUAAUUAUAAACAUUAAUUUAUGAUCUAUUGAUCUUUUUUUAGGGAUUAAAAGAUUAAAUUACCUUAGGGAUAACAGCGUAAUUUUAUUUUUAAGUUCUUAUUUAUAAUAAAGAUUGC
RNAcentral lists this ribosomal RNA (339 nucleotides) under unidentified. Its description in RNAcentral is "Matileola sp. NB-2020 partial 16S ribosomal RNA". The record is from RNAcentral.